Molecule: ribosomal RNA, 502 nt
Filed under: uncultured bacterium
Lineage: Bacteria
Description: partial 16S ribosomal RNA
Rfam family: Bacterial small subunit ribosomal RNA
Source: RNAcentral
GACGAACGCUGGCGGCGUGCUUAACACAUGCAAGUCGAACGGUGAAGGGGCCUGCUUUUGUGGGCCCUGGAUGAGUGGCGAACGGGUGAGUAACACGUGAGUAACCUGCCCCCUUCUUCUGGAUAACCACAUGAAAGUGUGGCUAAUACGGGAUAUUCUGGGUCUGUCGCAUGAUGGGUCUGGGAAAGAUUGCGCCUUUGGGUGUUUUUGGUGGGGGAUGGGCUCGCGGCCUAUCAGCUUGUUGGUGGGGUGAUGGCCUACCAAGGCGGUGACGGGUAGCCGGCCUGAGAGGGUGGACGGUCACACUGGGACUGAGACACGGCCCAGACUCCUACGGGAGGCAGCAGUGGGGAAUAUUGCACAAUGGGCGCAAGCCUGAUGCAGCGACGCCGCGUGAGGGAUGGAGGCCUUCGGGGUGUAAACCUCUUUCGCCAGUGAAGCAGGCCUGCUCCUUGUGGGUGGGUUGACGGUAGCUGGAGAAGAAGCGCCGGCUAACUACGUG